CGAGAGGGAGUAAGAAAAGGAGUUACAAAAUGGCAUACAAUCUUACAAAUCACUUCAGAGUGGCGAAAAACCUCGCAACUUUCAGAGAACAGCCCAAAAGCAAUUCCUAAGGCAAUAAAUGGGAAGAAAUUCAUUUUUUGGGGGUUUGGAACACUCUAAGUGAGAGUAAAUAAUGAGAGAACGUUCAUUUUUGUGUGAACUGUUCCUUUAAAGAAGGACCACCAGGUUGCCAAGCCAGAGAGGGGGAUGUGAGACAGAGAAAGAGCAGAGGAGGAGUCUGGGUGAGCACUAUGGCUGCCAACUCGUUCUGUUAAGUUGAGAAGAAACAUCUGGAAACAUUUAUGUUGGAGAGAGGGAAAGAGAACUUCUACAGUCCCAACGGUUACAUCACUCAGAGGAACACAUCCCUGCCCCCAACACACUCAUCUGCACACACAUACAGACACACACACAACAACCCCCCAGUAACCCAGUACGAUUUCCUGCCAAUUCCAAAGUCGGAUCCCGGCUGGAACAUUUCAGUCAGUAUGCCACGUCACUUUGCCUCCCCUUUCGUCUCGCUCUCUCUAUCUUCAUCUCUCUUUCUCCAUUUAACACUCUCUUUUUGCUUGAGGAACCAUCGCUGAAGGACCAUUCCUUGCUGUUUUUCGUAUAACAACGCUAAAGUGCGAAAACGACGUUUGUACGCGGUGCAGAAUGUGAUAAAGAAGUCAUGACAGCAAAAUGGUCAGUAUUUGUCUUGAAGUAAUUGCAGAGGCCUGGAAUAUGUAUCGCUAUACAGCAGUGAACAUUGGUGUACAGUCUCAGUGCAGUGACCUGCAGUCCAGCCAUCCUUUUCCUCCCCCUCGCCUGCCCAGUGUUCAGACUACCUGUUCAUCACGCUGCAGCUGAACAGUAGUCCGCACAUUGGUUAGGCUGGGCAGGGACACACACACCCACACUGCAAGCAACCGGACUCUACCAUUUACCGCUGGAUGGGGGGAAAAUUGCAUAAACAUUCCCUCUCAAAGGGAUCAAGAGAGAAAGGGCGUGCUAAAACACACACAUGGGGCUUGAAUCAAAUUUGAAUGGUGACAGAGACAGUAUAAAUGGGAUGGACAACUCAUCGAAAAAUGAAUGGGAGAUAUUGCAAUGCUCAAUGUGGUGGCUACACAAACAGAAGUUCUGCCUUCAGUUAAACGAGCAAAUUAGUUUAAAAAAAAAAAAAGUAAAAAAUAAAUACAAAAUAAAAGUUAAUAAAGUUAACUUGUUUACUAUAGAACAUGCAUGCAGGUUAACUGGACCAGUAUAAAAAAAGAAAAAAUACAGAUUUUUUAUUUUUAUUUAAAUGAUCUGACAUUAAAGCAUUAAAGAACAAAAAUGUAUGAUA
This is a long non-coding RNA of Myxocyprinus asiaticus (Chinese sucker), 1369 nucleotides long. RefSeq lists it as uncharacterized. The transcript has 2 exons. The record is from RefSeq and is a predicted model, not a curated record. NCBI's taxonomy places the organism in Eukaryota, Metazoa, Chordata, Actinopteri, Cypriniformes, Catostomidae.